Molecule: ribosomal RNA, 1378 nt
Filed under: uncultured bacterium
Lineage: Bacteria
Description: 16S ribosomal RNA
Rfam family: Bacterial small subunit ribosomal RNA
Source: RNAcentral
UGAACGCUGGCGGUAUGCUUAACACAUGCAAGUCGAACGGAAACGAUACUAGCUUGCUAGUAGGCGUCGAGUGGCGGACGGGUGAGUAACGCGUAGGAAUCUGCCUGAUAGUGGGGGAUAGCCCGAAGAAAUUCGGAUUAAUACCGCAUAAUCUAUUCGUAGUAAAGUGGGGGACUUUCGAGCCUCACGCUAUCAGAUGAGCCUGCGUAAGAUUAGCUUGUUGGUAGGGUAAAAGCCUACCAAGGCGACGAUCUUUAGCUGGUCUGAGAGGAUGAUCAGCCACAUCGGGACUGAGACACGGCCCGAACUCCUACGGGAGGCAGCAGUGGGGAAUAUUGGACAAUGGGGGCAACCCUGAUCCAGCAAUACCGCGUGUGUGAAGAAGGCCUGAGGGUUGUAAAGCACUUUCAAUUGUGAAGAAAAGUUAGCGGUUAAUAACCGUUAGCCUUGACGUUAACUUUAGAAGAAGCACCGGCUAACUCCGUGCCAGCAGCCGCGGUAAUACGGAGGGUGCAAGCGUUAAUCGGAAUUACUGGGCGUAAAGCGUGCGUAGGCGGUUUAUUAAGUCAGAUGUGAAAGCCCCGGGCUUAACCUGGGAACUGCAUUUGAAACUGGUCAACUAGAGUAUGGUAGAGGAAAGUGGAAUUUCUGGUGUAGCGGUGAAAUGCGUAGAUAUCAGAAGGAACAUCAAUGGCGAAGGCAGCUUUCUGGACCAAUACUGACGCUGAGGUACGAAAGCGUGGGUAGCAAACAGGAUUAGAUACCCUGGUAGUCCACGCCGUAAACGAUGAUAACUAGCCGUUGGGGGGAUUUACCCUUUAGUGGCGAAGCUAACGCGUUAAGUUAUCCGCCUGGGGAGUACGGCCGCAAGGUUAAAACUCAAAGGAAUUGACGGGGACCCGCACAAGCGGUGGAGCAUGUGGUUUAAUUCGAUGCAACGCGAAGAACCUUACCUGGUCUUGACAUCCUGCGAACUUUCUAGAAAUAGAUUGGUGCCUUCGGGAACGCAGUGACAGGUGCUGCAUGGCUGUCGUCAGCUCGUGUCGUGAGAUGUUGGGUUAAGUCCCGUAACGAGCGCAACCCCUAUCCUUAUUUGCCAGCACAUCAUGGUGGGAACUAUAAGGAGACUGCCGGUGAUAAACCGGAGGAAGGCGGGGACGACGUCAAGUCAUCAUGGCCCUUACGACCAGGGCUACACACGUGCUACAAUGGGAAGGACAAAGAGCCGCGAAGCCGCGAGGUGUAGCUAAUCUCAUAAACCUUUUCGUAGUCCGGAUUGGAGUCUGCAACUCGACUCCAUGAAGUCGGAAUCGCUAGUAAUCGUAGAUCAGAAUGCUACGGUGAAUACGUUCCCGGGUCUUGUACACACCGCCCGUCA